GUCCGAGCUGCAUUUUCAAGACAAAGUGAUAUGCCAAGCAUUACACCACCGAAGGCGUAUCCCUCCAGACCUCAACCCAGCUUUGUAUUACCUGUCAACGAAUUGGUGAUUGGUCGCCUGAUGCCUCAGAAUAGGUUUGCUGAACGCAACAUUGUCCACUGCUUGCGGUGCAAGAAGCCGCAGAAACAUCUCGCUGGCCACCUGGCUAGAGUGUGUAUGAAAGACAGCACAGCAGAAGAAAGGCAAGCUGAGAUCCAGAAGGCCAAGGUAUCUUCCAGACGGUGGGUCUGGAGGAACAGGACCUGGGAUUACCUCCAGCUUUGUUCUAUCCUGCCCCACAGUCCGUGUGCUUCUUUACUGGCGGAAGAAUUUCAGAGGCGUGGGUUCUUUAUCACCAACAUGCUGCAAGAGUCAGACAUGGCCAUUGACUCAGGUGAUGCCACCUCCUCACAACAGGGUUCGACUUCUGAUCAGAGAUAUGAUGACAGUGUUCGCACACCGACACAGUACCAGGCCAUUUUGGCAGUAGCCAGGAACGACUUCCUGAAAAUCUUUC
This is a long non-coding RNA of Ictalurus punctatus (channel catfish), 556 nucleotides long. Lineage: Eukaryota; Metazoa; Chordata; Actinopteri; Siluriformes; Ictaluridae. The record is from Ensembl.